Molecule: long non-coding RNA, 2097 nt
Organism: Papaver somniferum (opium poppy)
Lineage: Eukaryota; Viridiplantae; Streptophyta; Magnoliopsida; Ranunculales; Papaveraceae
Exons: 4
Source: RefSeq, a predicted model, not a curated record
AUCUCAUUCUUAACUCUUUUUAUUCUCUCUUCUCUCUCGUUCUCUUCACCGAUGAUUAGGGUUCAACUUCUCUGGCAAAGAAGUCUCAAAUCAAUAAUUUAUCCGAGAUUAAGGUCGAUUGGUUUGCUGAUUUUAGAGUUGUCAAAUCACAAAUAAAUUCCUAAUCUCAAAUCCCAAAAAUUUUCAUUCUUCAGAACUGAACUAGCAGCGCCAUUCUCCACAACUUAACCUAUCCUUUUCUUUACUCUAGCGCCUCCGACGACCACCAACAACUUGGAAAAUCAUAUCCGUUUCACUUUCUCUUUCGAUCUCGGAAAAACCAUCUCUUUUUCAGGUUCAUGCAAUACAGAGAAUCCAUAUCUAGUUCAUAUUCAUUAAGGGUUGGGGGGUUGGUUCAAUAAGGUCUUGCAUUACCUAAGACCGUGGGGAAGCGAAGCUUAUACUUGUUCACUUAACGGUUCACUAUGGCCUCUUUCGUCCUACCUUUUCUGCUCACUCGUACCCAUGAAACUUCAGAAUAUAGUUUCUUUGUUUUUCGUUUAUUACUGAGUUUUUAUUCUUGAUUUUUUGAGGUGCCUGAAGAAAAUGGCAAGAAUUGAUUUAUUAGUGUUCUGCGGUUAAGUUUUAUGGUGGGAUUUCACUUGUGAAACUAAUUGGGUUUGUUUGUUUGUUGGGUUGUCUCUCUGUGAAUUUACAGGGAAUGAGAUCUGGUCUCUGGAGCUUGUGUUGGUAGUGUUUGUGUGUUUGUUUGGAGUUAGUGUUGUCGCUUCAUUUUGGUUUUUGGAAACUAAUGCCCGAAAAGCUGAACGGUAAAUUAGAGUGCUGCUGCAGUUUGUGGAGAUGGUUACCGACGGUGCUCAUACUUGUGGUGGUGCUGAUUAUUGGUUGGUAAUAUGGUGGUGUUUGUUGAUGGCGGCUCGCUGGUGUUGUUUUUGGUGGUCGGGUGAUGUUGUUGGUGGGAGUUGUGGUGGAAUGGUAAUGGAUAUUUCUAUAAGUCCCAUCAAAGAAAAAAAAAAGAUAGCUAAAUUGGACGGUAUCAACUCAUAUGUCACUCUAAUGUAUCUCUUUUCGUUCGUUGAACUUUAAAUUUGCUGAAACUUCCUUUAUGUUGCAUAUCUACUUGAGCUUACAUGCUUCUUUUAAGCAUCCCUGGAUGUUUAGAUAUUGGGGAUCUAUCUAUCUUUUUAAGCAUGAAAUCUUCAUAACUUGCAUUUAUCUAACCGUCAUAUACAUUGUCGAUGCCAACUUUAUAUCAGGUUCGUCAUUUACGUGAUAGCAAUAGCUUUGCAACCUGAAGUGUGGAAGUUACUUUUUACUUUGAGUGCUUUAUUUCAGUUAAGUAUUGUCAUGCUCAUGUAGUUUCUUCCUAUUUACAUAGAAUGUUUUCAGAUCUCAGUAUUUAGUAAUCAUAGCACAAAAUCUUUUUCGCAAAAGGAAGAUAAUUGUUUGAACACCAACAGGAUAUAAAAAUGCCAUUUGUUCCUGCUUCAGAAACGGUAUUAAACUUCCACUAUCUUCUUCAACAUUCCAUUUGUUACUUCUCUUAAUAAACUCAUCUUAGGUGAUUGACAUCCAAUAUUUUGCUGUUUAAUACUCCUAACUUCUAUAUGUUCCUCCAGGCUAUCUUGCCAUACUGUCAAGAACUAGAGAAGUUCGCUCCCUAUAGUUGAUCUCCACUUUUCUCAUUUCAGGUUGACUUGUGAAGUUGAAGGACUAAUUGUGGUGAAACAACCCAGGUCGCAGAUAUGAGCAGUAAGUGCCACUACUUACAAGGCUGGUUAUGAAACAAAAAGAAGCUAUACUUGUUCGAGCAUGUAGGUAAUGAAUUUUGAGCUUGCUUCCAGUCUUGGGCCUUUAAGAUUGUGUCUACUACUGCCAUUACACUUCGCAUUACCGCUGCAGCUGCAGAAUUUCUAUGUUCUGAAAACUUAGGAAAUGUUUAUAUACUUAUCAUUUUUUUGAUACUACGCACAGAAUUUGUAUAUCCUCGGAACUUAAGAAAUAUUUCUAGCUACAGCUUGGAACUUAAGAAAUUUAUAUGUAUUGCCUAAGUUGUACUUUCGGAGUAUACAGAAGAACUCUUUAGUUUAUGCGUAA